Molecule: non-coding RNA, 351 nt
Organism: Prunus mume (Japanese apricot)
Lineage: Eukaryota; Viridiplantae; Streptophyta; Magnoliopsida; Rosales; Rosaceae
Source: RefSeq, a predicted model, not a curated record
UAAAUUAUCUGAUCUAGAGAAGCAUUUGAUAAGCUUAAACUCUGGAGAUGAGAAUGCAGUCAAAGCUGCGAUUGAAGAAUUUGCAGUGGAAGUCCAGCCUGAUGAAGAAAGUGUUUUAAACAAGCAGUCAAUAAUUGAUGAGUGCUUCUCCAAAGAUACAUCACAAGGAUAAGGAAAGGUAUGAUACCAGCUGGUUAUGUCACUGUCAGGGUCGGAUUAGCUCUUGGAGAGUUGCGAAAGGAAAAUAAUUUCCUAAGAAGCCUUUGGCCAGUAACUAAUCCACCUUCAAGUCAAGAACAUCUUUUACAUCCUCAACUUUUACAAAAGCUUCUCCGUCGCCCAUUCCUUGCU